Molecule: long non-coding RNA, 458 nt
Organism: Pogoniulus pusillus (Red-fronted tinkerbird)
Lineage: Eukaryota; Metazoa; Chordata; Aves; Piciformes; Lybiidae
Exons: 3
Source: RefSeq, a predicted model, not a curated record
AGUAUUUGCACUUCUCAAACUGUUCAAUCCUCCUGUGCUUCCACCACGACAUGAACGGCAGCAGCAGACAGGAUUUUGGAAGAGAUACCCCUUUUCCUGAGAUGCCAGAUGUCAGUUUGAUUCACAUUGCCAUGGACACAGCUAUCAGCCACCACAACACAAUACUGGAGCUAGAGGUGCUUAUGAGACAGUGACAUUACAGUGUGCAUACAGAAGAAAAUCCCACAACACCUGAACUGAAAGACUCAGAGGCCCAUUUACCACUUCUACAAAGUCUUUUCAAAGUGGAAAUAAGGAAGAUUAAAUUCAGUAUAUUGUGGAGUUGGAGAAUAUGAACCAAAAGAGGGAGUACUUCUCUUUGGUUGCAUUGUCCAUAUUAACAUAUUUUUUCCCAUUCAAAGUAAGUAUUUAUGACUGCCCCAAAGUCAGUUAUUAUUACUGCUGCUGCUGGUUUUAUU